This 279-nucleotide ribosomal RNA is filed under the name uncultured bacterium. RNAcentral's name for it is "partial 16S ribosomal RNA". It matches the Rfam family "Bacterial small subunit ribosomal RNA", at positions 506 to 784 of the family's 1533-position model. The record is from RNAcentral.
UGCCAGCAGCCGCGGUAAUACGGAGGGUGCGAGCGUUAAUCGGAAUUACUGGGCGUAAAGCGCGCGUAGGUGGCUCGAUCAGUCAGGUGUGAAAGCCCCGGGCUCAACCUGGGAAUUGCAUUUGAUACUGUCGAGCUAGAGUCUGUCAGAGGGUGGCGGAAUUCCGGGUGUAGCGGUGAAAUGCGUAGAUAUCCGGAGGAACACCAGUGGCGAAGGCGGCCACCUGGACGAUUACUGACGCUCAGGCACGAAAGCAUGGGGAGCGAAAGGGAUUAGAUA